UCCUAUCUCUCCCCACGCUCUUCUCUUCCUCCUACCCAUCUUCUCUCUCCCGAGUGAGCUCCCGCGGGACGGCCCCGACCCCAGCCCUGGGCGGCGUGCCGGCGAGCCCGAGCUCCCAUGUGACGUUAUUAGCCCCGGCCCUAGGCAGCGGCGGCAUGCCCGGGCUCUUGUGCAACGGCCCCGGCCCCGUCCCUGGACGGCCGCGGCAGGGAGCCUGACUUCUGGACGGCCGCGGCCGCGGGCAGCCCGAGCUCCCGUGUGGCGAUGCCUGGGUCAGUCUUCUCUCUUUCUUUCCUCAAUCCACAACAGAUGCGAGCUCGAGCUUCAAAUCCGGGGUGGAUCUAAGGUGCGGGAGGGCGGAUUCGAGGUGAGGGUGGCUGGACCUCGCGGCGCCAUUGUGAAAUCGGGAGGGAAGGAGGCGGGAGAGGGUGGCAAGCUGGCGAGGAUGGCUCCUCGGGGAGGGAAUUCGUGCGCACGCGGGAGGGAAAACUGCAUUACCGGUAGAGUAAGGGCUUCGCUCUCCACCAGUGGGAGAAGGGGCUGGAGGGGGGAAAAGCAGGAGCCUCCCUAAAGUAAGUAGGGGUCUGAGAAGUGUGUUUUUUGCCCUGGUUCCAAUUUUUUGGAUAGAGGUUUUGCUGGAGUUGCUUAAAAAAACCGUGUCUCAAGAAAUAAGAUUUGUUUUUCGUUCAUCCCUGUUGAGGAGCAUCUCGGAGACUUAUUUUCUCUUUUUGAUCAGCUCGCUUGAAAGUUGGACGGCAUGUAUAGAUUCUAAUAAAGGUAUAUGUGAUUUUGAUACAAAAAAUAGCAUGAUAUGGAAUAUCUUAAAAAAAUAUUCAAAAUAAAGAUAAUGUUUUUGUUGAGGACCUUCUUGGGAAGACAUGUUUUGAAGGAACAAUUGAGGAAUAGGAACUAAAGGAGAACUUCCAAUAAAUGGUUAUUGGACUGGACGAAUUGGUUCGCCAUCGUCGACGUUGGAAUUCACGAGAUCUUAUUAUCUACCUCAU
RNAcentral lists this long non-coding RNA (1004 nucleotides) under Setaria italica (foxtail millet). RNAcentral's name for it is "long non-coding RNA (SITA_LNC005983)". The record is from RNAcentral. Lineage: Eukaryota; Viridiplantae; Streptophyta; Magnoliopsida; Poales; Poaceae.